This 327-nucleotide ribosomal RNA is filed under the name uncultured bacterium. Its description in RNAcentral is "partial 16S ribosomal RNA". It matches the Rfam family "Bacterial small subunit ribosomal RNA", at positions 356 to 700 of the family's 1533-position model. The record is from RNAcentral.
GGGGGAUAUUGGACAAUGGGGGCAACCCUGAUCCAGCAAUGCCGCGUGUGUGAAGAAGGUCUUCGGAUUGUAAAGCACUUUCGACGGGGACGAUGAUGACGGUACCCGUAGAAGAAGCCCCGGCUAACUUCGUGCCAGCAGCCGCGGUAAUACGAAGGGGGCUAGCGUUGCUCGGAAUGACUGGGCGUAAAGGGCGUGUAGGCGGUUUACACAGUCAGAUGUGAAAUCCCCGGGCUUAACCUGGGAGCUGCAUUUGAUACGUGUAGACUAGAGUGUGAGAGAGGGUUGUGGAAUUCCCAGUGUAGAGGUGAAAUUCGUAGAUAUUGG